CUGGGCUAGACAACGGCGGACCGUCCUAGAAAUAGGAUUUUCCCUUCGGGGACUGCCGGUUCAGGUGCUGCAUGGCUGUCGUCAGCUCGUGUCGUGAGAUGUUGGGUUAAGUCCCGCAACGAGCGCAACCCUCGCCCUUAGUUGCCAUCAUUCAGUUGGGCACUCUAAGGGGACUGCCGGUGAUAAGCCGCGAGGAAGGUGGGGAUGACGUCAAGUCAUCAUGGCCUUUAUGUCCAGGGCUACACACGUGCUACAAUGGCCGGUACAAAGCGCUGCAAACCCGCGAGGGGGAGCUAAUCGCAAAAAACCGGUCUCAGUUCGGAUUACAGGCUGCAACUCGCCUGCAUGAAGCUGGAAUCGCUAGUAAUGGCAUAUCAGAACGAUGCCGUGAAUACGUUCCC
This 401-nucleotide ribosomal RNA is filed under the name uncultured bacterium. RNAcentral's name for it is "bacterial SSU rRNA". It matches the Rfam family "Bacterial small subunit ribosomal RNA", at positions 975 to 1375 of the family's 1533-position model. The record is from RNAcentral.